UGCAAGUAGAACGCUGAAGAGAGGAGCUUGCUCUUCUUGGAUGAGUUGCGAACGGGUGAGUAACGCGUAGGUAACCUGCCUUGUAGCGGGGGAUAACUAUUGGAAACGAUAGCUAAUACCGCAUAACAAUGGAUGACCCAUGUCAUUUAUUUGAAAGGGGCAAAUGCUCCACUACAAGAUGGACCUGCGUUGUAUUAGCUAGUAGGUGAGGUAACGGCUCACCUAGGCGACGAUACAUAGCCGACCUGAGAGGGUGAUCGGCCACACUGGGACUGAGACACGGCCCAGACUCCUACGGGAGGCAGCAGUAGGGAAUCUUCGGCAAUGGGGGCAACCCUGACCGAGCAACGCCGCGUGAGUGAAGAAGGUUUUCGGAUCGUAAAGCUCUGUUGUAAGUCAAGAACGAGUGUGAGAGUGGAAAGUUCACACUGUGACGGUAGCUUACCAGAAAGGGACGGCUAACUACGUGCCAGCAGCCGCGGUAAUACGUAGGUCCCGAGCGUUGUCCGGAUUUAUUGGGCGUAAAGCGAGCGCAGGCGGUUUGAUAAGUCUGAAGUUAAAGGCUGUGGCUCAACCAUAGUUCGCUUUGGAAACUGUCAAACUUGAGUGCAGAAGGGGAGAGUGGAAUUCCAUGUGUAGCGGUGAAAUGCGUAGAUAUAUGGAGGAACACCGGUGGCGAAAGCGGCUCUCUGGUCUGUAACUGACGCUGAGGCUCGAAAGCGUGGGGAGCGAACAGGAUUAGAUACCCUGGUAGUCCACGCCGUAAACGAUGAGUGCUAGGUGUUGGAUCCUUUCCGGGAUUCAGUGCCGCAGCUAACGCAUUAAGCACUCCGCCUGGGGAGUACGACCGCAAGGUUGAAACUCAAAGGAAUUGACGGGGGCCCGCACAAGCGGUGGAGCAUGUGGUUUAAUUCGAAGCAACGCGAAGAACCUUACCAGGUCUUGACAUCCCGAUGCUAUUUCUAGAGAUAGAAAGUUACUUCGGUACAUCGGUGACAGGUGGUGCAUGGUUGUCGUCAGCUCGUGUCGUGAGAUGUUGGGUUAAGUCCCGCAACGAGCGCAACCCCUAUUGUUAGUUGCCAUCAUUCAGUUGGGCACUCUAGCGAGACUGCCGGUAAUAAACCGGAGGAAGGUGGGGAUGACGUCAAAUCAUCAUGCCCCUUAUGACCUGGGCUACACACGUGCUACAAUGGUUGGUACAACGAGUUGCGAGUCGGUGACGGCAAGCUAAUCUCUUAAAGCCAAUCUCAGUUCGGAUUGUAGGCUGCAACUCGCCUACAUGAAGUCGGAAUCGCUAGUAAUCGCGGAUCAGCACGCCGCGGUGAAUACGUUCCCGGGCCUUGUACACACCGCCCGUCACACCACGAGAGUUUGUAACACCCGAAGUCGGUGAGGUAACCUUUUGGAGCCAGCCGCCUAAGGUGGGAUAGAUGAU
Molecule: ribosomal RNA, 1435 nt
Filed under: Streptococcus salivarius
Lineage: Bacteria; Bacillati; Bacillota; Bacilli; Lactobacillales; Streptococcaceae
Description: bacterial SSU rRNA
Rfam family: Bacterial small subunit ribosomal RNA
Source: RNAcentral